GUGAAUCAUCAAAUUUUUGAACGCAAAUUGCACUCUCUGCGAAGAGUAUGACUGUUUGAGUGUCAGCCUAUAAAAAUCGACAUAGUUGCUGUUCGCGGUGGCGUUCGUCGGAAAUGGGGCCAUCUUAAAUCCUUUUGAUUUAAGCGACUUAAAAUUUUCGUUUGUUUCCAUGAACGUGUCUAAGAUCUAGUUCUUUACACGUUUAAGGUAUCGAUUUUUACUAGACGUGACCAUAAUAUCAGAUCGCGUC
Molecule: unclassified non-coding RNA, 250 nt
Filed under: Glomus sp.
Lineage: Eukaryota; Fungi; Glomeromycota; Glomeromycetes; Glomerales; Glomeraceae
Description: partial contains 5.8S ribosomal RNA and internal transcribed spacer 2
Rfam family: 5.8S ribosomal RNA (bases 1-65)
Source: RNAcentral